CCUGAUCCAGCCAUGCCGCGUGUGUGAAGAAGGCCUUUUGGUUGUAAAGCACUUUAAGCAGUGAAGAAGACCUAACGGUUAAUACCCGUUAGCGAUGACAUUAGCUGCAGAAUAAGCACCGGCUAACUCUGUGCCAGCAGCCGCGGUAAUACAGAGGGUGCAAGCGUUAAUCGGAAUUACUGGGCGUAAAGCGAGCGUAGGUGGCUUGAUAAGUCAGAUGUGAAAUCCCCGGGCUUAACCUGGGAACUGCAUCUGAUACUGUUAGGCUAGAAUAGGUGAGAGGAAGGUAGAAUUCCAGGUGUAGCGGUGAAAUGCGUAGAGAUCUGGAGGAAUACCGAUGGCGAAGGCAGCCUUCUGGCAUCAUAUUGACACUGAGGUUCGAAAGCGUGGGUAGCAAACAGGAUUAGAUACCCUGGUAGUCCACGCCGUAAACGAUGUCUACUAGUCGUUGGGUCCCUUGAGGACUUAGUGACGCAGCUAACGCAAUAAGUAGACCGCCUGGGGAGUACGGCCGCAAGGUUAAAACUCAAAUGA
This 534-nucleotide ribosomal RNA is filed under the name Psychrobacter submarinus. RNAcentral's name for it is "bacterial SSU rRNA". It matches the Rfam family "Bacterial small subunit ribosomal RNA", at positions 382 to 908 of the family's 1533-position model. The record is from RNAcentral. Lineage: Bacteria; Pseudomonadati; Pseudomonadota; Gammaproteobacteria; Moraxellales; Moraxellaceae.